This 586-nucleotide ribosomal RNA is filed under the name Sphingobacterium sp. RNAcentral describes it as "bacterial SSU rRNA". It matches the Rfam family "Bacterial small subunit ribosomal RNA", at positions 40 to 615 of the family's 1533-position model. The record is from RNAcentral. Lineage: Bacteria; Pseudomonadati; Bacteroidota; Sphingobacteriia; Sphingobacteriales; Sphingobacteriaceae.
CGGCAGGCCUAAUACAUGCAAGUCGGACGGGAUCCGUCGGACAGCUUGCUCGAAGACGGUGAGAGUGGCGCACGGGGGCGUAACGCGUGACCAACCUACCUCUAUCAGGGGGAUAGCCUCUCGAAAGAGAGAUUAACACCGCAUAACAUAUGUGACCGGCAUCGGUUGGAUAUUAAAUAUUUAUAGGAUAGAGAUGGGCUCGCGUGACAUUAGCUAGUUGGUAGGGUAACGGCUUACCAAGGCGACGAUGUCUAGGGGCUCUGAGAGGAGAAUCCCCCGCACUGGUACUGAGACACGGACCAGACUCCUACGGGAGGCAGCAUUAAGGAAUAUUGGUCAAUGGGCGGAAGCCUGAACCAGCCAUGCCGCGUGCAGGAUGACUGCCCUAUGGGUUGUAAACUGCUUUUGUCCAGGAAUAAACCUUUCUACGUGUAGGAAGCUGAAUGUACUGGAAGAAUAAGGAUCGGCUAACUCCGUGCCAGCAGCCGCGGUAAUACGGAGGAUCCUAGCGUUAUCCGGAUUUAUUGGGUUUAAAGGGUGCGUAUGCGGCCUAUUAAGUCAGGGGUGAAAUACGGUGGCUCAACCA